GAGUUUGAUCCUGGCUCAGGAUGAACGCUGGCGGCGUGCUUAACACAUGCAAGUCGAACGGGAAACCUUUUAUUGAAGCUUCGGCAGAUUUAGAUUGUUUCUAGUGGCGGACGGGUGAGUAACGCGUGGGUAACCUGCCUUAUACAGGGGGAUAACAGUCAGAAAUGACUGCUAAUACCGCAUAAGCGCACAGAGCUGCAUGGCUCGGUGUGAAAAACUCCGGUGGUAUAAGAUGGACCCGCGUUGGAUUAGCUAGUUGGUGAGGUAACGCCCACAAGGCAACGAUCCGAUAGCCGCCUGAGAGGUGAACGGCCACAUUGGGACUGAGACACGGCCCAGAC
Molecule: ribosomal RNA, 341 nt
Filed under: uncultured bacterium
Lineage: Bacteria
Description: bacterial SSU rRNA
Rfam family: Bacterial small subunit ribosomal RNA
Source: RNAcentral